RNAcentral lists this ribosomal RNA (253 nucleotides) under uncultured bacterium. RNAcentral's name for it is "partial 16S ribosomal RNA". It matches the Rfam family "Bacterial small subunit ribosomal RNA", at positions 524 to 776 of the family's 1533-position model. The record is from RNAcentral.
UACAGAGACUGCAAGCGUUAUUCGGAUUCACUGGGCGUAAAGGGUGCGCAGGCGGCCAAGUGUGUGAGGCGUGAAAGCCCGGGGCUUAACCCCGGAAUUGCACCUCAAACUACAUGGCUAGAGCAUUGGAGAGGGUAGCAGAAUUCAUGGUGUAGCAGUGAAAUGCGUAGAUAUCAUGAGGAAUACCAGAGGCGAAGGCGGCUACCUGGACAAUUGCUGACGUGCAGGCACGAAAGCGUGGGGAGCAAAAGGG